This 492-nucleotide ribosomal RNA is filed under the name uncultured bacterium. Its description in RNAcentral is "partial 16S ribosomal RNA". It matches the Rfam family "Bacterial small subunit ribosomal RNA", at positions 29 to 507 of the family's 1533-position model. The record is from RNAcentral.
AGUGAACGCUGGCGGUAGGCCUAACACAUGCAAGUCGAACGGCAUCACAGUAAGAGCUUGCUCUUACGGGUGGCGCGUGGCGGACGGGUGAGUUAUACACCGGAAUCUACUUUUUCGUUGGGGAUAACGUAGGGUAACUUACUCUAAUACCGCAUACGUCCUCCGGGUGACAGCAGGGGAUCGUCGGACCUUGCGCGAUUGUAUGAGCCGAUGUCGGAUUAGCUAGUUGGCGGGGUAAAGGCACACCAAGGCGACGGUCCGUAGCUGGUCUGAGAGGAAGAUCAGCUACCUUGGAUGUGAGAAACGGCCGAGACACUUGCGCGAGGACGCAGUGGGGAAUCUUGCGGGAUGGGGGAAAGGCUGAUCCAGCGCUACCGGGUAGGUGAAGACGGAGUUCGGCUUGGAAAAUCCUUUUGUUGGGAAGGAAAAGAAGCAGUUUAAUCCCGCGCUGUUCUGACGGUACCCAAAGAAGAAGCCCCGGCUAACUUCGUG